GGUCACGUGAUGGAGUUGGUCACCAUACCUGUCUAACAGUACUUGACUGUUCAACACAGGAGGUCGGCAGUUCGAUCCUGCCCGGGAUCA
This is a non-coding RNA of Kwoniella heveanensis BCC8398, 90 nucleotides long. Lineage: Eukaryota; Fungi; Basidiomycota; Tremellomycetes; Tremellales; Cryptococcaceae. The record is from the annotation of a GenBank genome assembly.